UACGAUGGGGGCUAGCGUUACUCGGAUUGACUGGGCGUAAAGGGCGCGUAGGCGGCUUGUACAGUCAGACGUGAAAUUCCUGGGCUCAACCUGGGGGCUGCGUUUGAUACGUGCGGGCUUGAGUUCGGAGGAGGGUCGUGGAAUUCCCAGUGUAGAGGUGAAAUUCGUAGAUAUUGGGAAGAACACCGGUGGCGAAGGCGGCGACCUGGUCCGAUACUGACGCUGAGGCGCGAAAGCGUGGGGAGCAAACAGG
This 253-nucleotide ribosomal RNA is filed under the name uncultured bacterium. Its description in RNAcentral is "partial 16S ribosomal RNA". It matches the Rfam family "Bacterial small subunit ribosomal RNA", at positions 524 to 776 of the family's 1533-position model. The record is from RNAcentral.